UCCUGGUGGCUCAGACGGUAAAGCAACUACCUAUAAUGCGGGAGACCCAGGUUCGAUCCCUGGAUCAGGAA
RNAcentral lists this transfer RNA (71 nucleotides) under Bos taurus (domestic cattle). It matches the Rfam family "tRNA". Rfam says of the family: Transfer RNA (tRNA) molecules are approximately 80 nucleotides in length. Their secondary structure includes four short double-helical elements and three loops (D, anti-codon, and T loops). Lineage: Eukaryota; Metazoa; Chordata; Mammalia; Artiodactyla; Bovidae. The record is from Rfam by way of RNAcentral. RNAcentral also lists the same sequence under 3 other names.